GUUAAAAAGCUCGUAGUCGGAUUUCAGGGCGGGGCGACCGGUCUGCCGAUGGGUAUGCACUGGUCGGCGCGUCCUUGCUUCUGGAGACCGUGCCUACUCUUAACUGAGCGGGGACGGGAAACAGAUCGUUUACUUUGAAAAAAUCAGAGUGUUUAAAGCAGGCCAAGAUUGCUCUUGCAUGGAUUAGCAUGGGAUAAUGAAAUAGGACUUUGGUGCUAUUUUGUUGGUUUCGAACACCGAAGUAAUGAUUAAUAGGGAUAGUCAGGGGCACUCGUAUUCCGUCGAGAGAGGUGAAAUUCUCAGACCAAUGGAAGACGAACUACUGCGAAAGCAUUUGCCAGGGAUGUUUUCACUGAUCAAGAACGAAAGUUAGGGGAUCGAAGACGAUCAGAUACCGUCGUAGUCUUAACCAUAAACCAUGCCGACUAGGGAUUGGAGGAUGUUAUUUUGUGACUCCUUCAGCACCUUAUGAGAAAUCAAAGUCUUUGGGUUCCGGGGGGAGUAUGGUCGCAAGGCUGAAACUUAAAGGAAUUGACGGAAGGGCACCACCAGGAGUGGAGCCUGCGGCUUAAUUUGACUCAACACGGGGAAACUUACCAGGUCCGGACUUAGUAAGGAUGUACAGAUUGAUAGCUCUUUACAGAUUCUAAGGGUGGUGGUGCAUGGCCGUUCUUAGUUGGUGGAGUGAUUUGUCUGGUUAAUUCCGUUAACGAACGAGACCUUAACCUGCUAAAUAGU
Molecule: ribosomal RNA, 738 nt
Filed under: uncultured marine eukaryote
Lineage: Eukaryota
Description: SSU rRNA
Rfam family: Eukaryotic small subunit ribosomal RNA
Source: RNAcentral